UUUAACAAAGAUCUAAAAGAUGGACCUUUCCUUCUUCUGUAUCCGGAUGGCACUGAGGUCAUUACUGUCCCUGGAACACAAAGACCAUUUACACUUGAGGCUUAUAAGGCUGAAGUUGGCAAGCCUUAUCAAAGAAUCAAUGUUUUCAUCUGCUUGAAGAGUGACUUUGAAGAUGUUGGAGAAAACUCAGACUUGUCUGACUCUGACCCAGAGAUUGUUAUUAAAAGGCCCUCUGAGUUUGAUCUUGCUGAUACAUUGCCAUGGGAACUUCAACAUGAAAGCAGUCCUUUACAGAAAGCAGCAGAAUAUGAAGACACCAAUUUGCAGGCACAUGGAAUUAUUGCAAAUUUGGCACUGGAACUUGACCACAAGAAGGUCAGCAGGUUCAAUAUAUCAAGGUCAGCUGUAUGGGAUGGAGCUGUUAGAGGAUUUCGACGCAGCACAUACUCUGACAACUACGACAUGUUCAUCAAGUUUAAUGAUGAUGCUGGCAGCUUUGAAGAAGG
Long non-coding RNA from Oreochromis aureus, 506 nucleotides. The record is from Ensembl. Lineage: Eukaryota; Metazoa; Chordata; Actinopteri; Cichliformes; Cichlidae.